RNAcentral lists this transfer RNA (92 nucleotides) under Variovorax sp. V512. RNAcentral describes it as "tRNA-Leu". RNAcentral also lists the same sequence under 3 other names. The record is from RNAcentral. Lineage: Bacteria; Pseudomonadati; Pseudomonadota; Betaproteobacteria; Burkholderiales; Comamonadaceae.
UCGGUCUGCGCGAUCUCGGGCACGUGCUUGGCGAUGAGGUCGCCGAGCUUGCGGAUGAGCUUGGCGCGCUCGGGCGCGGGCAGGCCGGCCCA